Molecule: ribosomal RNA, 522 nt
Filed under: Proctolaelaps sp. POD0ME403
Lineage: Eukaryota; Metazoa; Arthropoda; Arachnida; Mesostigmata; Ascidae
Also listed under: 1 other name
Description: SSU rRNA
Rfam family: Eukaryotic small subunit ribosomal RNA
Source: RNAcentral
UUCGUAUUGUUGUGAGAGAGGUGAAAUUCUUAGACCACAGCAAGACGAACUACUGCGAAAGCAUUUGCCAAGAAUGUUUUCAUUGAUCAAGAACGAAAGUUAGAGGUUCGAAGGCGAUCAGAUACCGCCCUAGUUCUAACCAUAAACUAUGCCAACUAGCAAUUUGCUUAUGUUCUUUAAAUGACUAAGUGAGAGGCCACGGGAAACCAAAGUAGGGUUAUGGGGGAAGUAUGGUUGCAAAGCUGAAACUUAAAGGAAUUGACGGAAGGGCACCACCAGGAGUGGAGCCUGCGGCUUAAUUUGACUCAACACGGGAAAACUUACCUGGUCCUGACACUAGAAGGAUUGACAGAUUGAUAGCUCUUUCUUGAUUUGGUGGAUGGUGGUGCAUGGCCGUUCUUAGUUGGUGGAGUGAUUUGUCUGGUUAAUUCCGAUAACGAACGAGACUCUAGCCUAUUAAAUAACACACAGAAUCAUGUCUUCUGUGGCGUUUCUUAAUGGGAUCAAGUGUGUUUAACGCUU